RNAcentral lists this ribosomal RNA (554 nucleotides) under Ramphastos sulfuratus sulfuratus. RNAcentral's name for it is "partial 16S ribosomal RNA". The record is from RNAcentral. Lineage: Eukaryota; Metazoa; Chordata; Aves; Piciformes; Ramphastidae.
GCCUGUGAAAUGAACCUCAGUUCAUCCCUGAUCGCUCCCUACACGAACCCGCAACCAACCCCCAUGAAGACGAACAGGAGCUAUUUAAAGGAGGUACAGCUCCUUUAAAACAGAAUACAACCUCCCACAGCGGAUAAUUCUUCCCCAAACACAACUGUUGGCCUUCAAGCAGCCACCAACAAAGAGUGCGUCAAAGCUCACAUCAAAAAAUACCACAACUGCACGAAUCCCUCCCCACUAACAGGCCAACCUAUAACUAUAGGAGGAUUAAUGCUGAAAUAAGUAACUAGGGGCCCCUCACCCCCUCUCAAGCGCGAACUUACAUCUCACAUUAUUACCCACAACAUGAUAUCUACACCCCCACAAGCACACCCUAUCCCCAAACCACUGUUACACCAACCCAGGAGCGCAACAAUAGAAAGAUUUAAAUCUGUAGAAGGAAUUAGGCAAACUCAAGGCCCGACUGUUUACCAAAAACAUAGCCUUCAGCACACCAAGUAUUGAAGGUGAUGCCUGCCCAGUGACACCCCACGUUUAACGGCCGCGGUAUCCUA